Molecule: ribosomal RNA, 406 nt
Filed under: uncultured bacterium
Lineage: Bacteria
Description: partial 16S ribosomal RNA
Rfam family: Bacterial small subunit ribosomal RNA
Source: RNAcentral
AUUGAACGCUGGCGGCAGGCUUAACACAUGCAAGUCGAACGAGUGGCGGACGGGUGAGUAAUGCUUGGGAAUCUGGCUUGUGGAGGGGGAUAACGACGGGAAACUGUCGCUAAUACCGCGUACCAUAGGAUGAGCCCAAGUGGGAUUAGGUAGUUGGUGGGGUAAUGGCCUACCAAGGCGACGAUCCCUAGCUGGUCUGAGAGGAUGACCAGGCCCACCGGGACUGGGGAAAGGCCCGGGAUCCCAAGGGAAGGAGGAGUAGGGAAUCUUCGGCAAUGGACGGAAGUCUGAACGAGCAAAGCCGGGGGAGAUAAGAAGGGUUUCGGAUCGUAAAGCUCUUUUGUAAGAGAAGCGGUAUCUGACCAGAAAGGGACGGCUAACUACGUGCCAGCAGCCGCGGUAAUAC